AUAUGGAAUUUGGGUGAGAUAGAUGAAAGAAACAAGGAGGGCUAGCAAGAAAUAGAAAGAAAGAGAAAGAGNAGGGGAAGACUGGACAAAACAGAAUGGAAAGAGGAGGGUAUGAACUAACAAUAGUUGAAUAACUAACUUAGGACAUCCUUGUUUUAUUUAUAUUUAAAUAUCAUAUUGUGCAAUUAUAGAGGGAUCACUACAAGAGGUUACCAUUCGAAAUCAGACCUUUCUUAUGGCCAAAAAGAGGUUGAAAAUCACUUCAUCAAACCACCAAAAUCAGGUUUCAUUGUUUCAAAAGCUUAAGCAACACAGAAACAAACAUAAGGAAGUAUAAAUGCAUUGAACUAAGCUAGAACAAUGAANCUUAGCAUGAUUAACUAAGGACAACUAUUUAAUAAAGUGACAACUAAGGACACCAUGACUAACACAGGGGUAAACCAAAAAAAAAAACCUUUAUGUUAUGUUUGGCCUUGUAAUAUUUGGUGACUACUUGUACAUGUAUAUCAAAUUCACAUUUUAAGUAUUUUGCUUUUUUUUAAUAUUGUCACUGGAUUGGAUACUAUGCAAUCUUUAGACACUAACAAAGGAGCAUUCAACUUAAGGUGGAACAUAUUUUGAUUGGUUCCUCCAGUAUGAUUAACUAUCAAGAUACUUGGUGAUCUCUACAAAAAUUAUAAUGAAAUACUAAUUGAUAUUAACUAUUUUGUAUAAAAAUGNUUGUAUUGUUAUACAAACUCCCAUGCUUCUUACACCAAAUAGGUAAAUAGAAGUAUUUAUGAUCAUAAAGCCCNA
Molecule: long non-coding RNA, 795 nt
Filed under: Vigna radiata
Lineage: Eukaryota; Viridiplantae; Streptophyta; Magnoliopsida; Fabales; Fabaceae
Description: long non-coding RNA (VRAD_LNC005561)
Source: RNAcentral